Molecule: ribosomal RNA, 511 nt
Filed under: uncultured bacterium
Lineage: Bacteria
Description: partial 16S ribosomal RNA
Rfam family: Bacterial small subunit ribosomal RNA
Source: RNAcentral
GACGAACGCUGGCGGCGUGCCUAAUACAUGCAAGUCGAGCGAAUCAAUGGGAGCUUGCUCCCUGAGAUUAGCGGCGGACGGGUGAGUAACACGUGGGUAACCUGCCUGUAAGACUGGGAUAACUUCGGGAAACCGGAGCUAAUACCGGAUACGUUCUUUUCUCGCAUGAGGAGAGAUGGAAAGAUGGUUCUGCUAUCACUUACAGAUGGACCAGCGGCGCAUUAGCUAGUUGGUGAGGUAACGGCUCACCAAGGCGACGAUGCGUAGCCGACCUGAGAGGGUGAUCGGCCACACUGGGACUGAGACACGGCCCAGACUCCUACGGGAGGCAGCAGUAGGGAAUCUUCCGCAAUGGACGAAAGUCUGACGGAGCAACGCCGCGUGAGCGAAGAAGGCCUCCGGGUCGUAAAGCUCUGUUGUUAGGGAAGAACAAGUACGAGAGUAACUGCUCGUACCUUGACGGUACCUAACCAGAAAGCCACGGCUAACUACGUGCCAGCAGCCGCCGCCG